AACGCGAAGAACCUUACCUACUCUUGAAUCCACAGAAUUUUGCAGAGAUGCGGAAGUGCCUUUGGGAACUGUGAGACAGGUGCUGCAUGGCUGUCGUCAGCUCGUGUCGUGAGAUGUUGGGUUAAGUCCCGUAACGAGCGCAACCCUUGUCCUUAGUUACUAACGAGUAAAGUCGAGGACUCUAAGGAGACCGCCGGUGAUAAACCGGAGGAAGGUGGGGACGAUGUCAAGUCAUCAUGGCCCUUACGAGUAGGGCUACACGCGUGCUACAAUGGUUGGUACAAAAGGCGGCGAAACCGCGAGGUGGAGCAAAUCCUUUAAAACCUAUCGUAGUCCGGAUUGGAGUCUGCAACUCGACUCCAUGAAGCUGGAAUCGCUAGUAAUCGUGGAUCAGAACGCCACGGUGAAUACGUUCCCGGGCCUUGUACACCCGACUGUAC
This 440-nucleotide ribosomal RNA is filed under the name uncultured bacterium. RNAcentral's name for it is "bacterial SSU rRNA". It matches the Rfam family "Bacterial small subunit ribosomal RNA", at positions 958 to 1387 of the family's 1533-position model. The record is from RNAcentral.